RNAcentral lists this ribosomal RNA (253 nucleotides) under uncultured bacterium. RNAcentral describes it as "partial 16S ribosomal RNA". It matches the Rfam family "Bacterial small subunit ribosomal RNA", at positions 524 to 776 of the family's 1533-position model. The record is from RNAcentral.
UACAGAGGGUGCGAGCGUUAAUCGGAAUUACUGGGCGUAAAGCGCACGUAGUCGGCUUUGCAAGUCGGGUGUGAAAUCCCCGGGCUCAACCUGGGAACUGCAUCCGAGACUGCAUUGCUAGAGUAUGGGAGAGGGAAGCGGAAUUUCUGGUGUAGCAGUGAAAUGCGUAGAUAUCAGAAGGAACAUCAGUGGCGAAGGCGGCUCACUGGCCCGGUACUGACGCUGAGGUGCGAAAGCGUGGGGAGCAAACAGG